Molecule: transfer RNA, 73 nt
Filed under: Trichonephila clavata
Lineage: Eukaryota; Metazoa; Arthropoda; Arachnida; Araneae; Nephilidae
Rfam family: tRNA
About the family: Transfer RNA (tRNA) molecules are approximately 80 nucleotides in length. Their secondary structure includes four short double-helical elements and three loops (D, anti-codon, and T loops). Further hydrogen bonds mediate the characteristic L-shaped molecular structure. tRNAs have two regions of fundamental functional importance: the anti-codon, which is responsible for specific mRNA codon recognition, and the 3' end, to which the tRNAs corresponding amino acid is attached (by aminoacyl-tRNA synthetases). tRNAs cope with the degeneracy of the genetic code in two manners: having more than one tRNA (with a specific anti-codon) for a particular amino acid; and 'wobble' base-pairing, i.e. permitting non-standard base-pairing at the 3rd anti-codon position.
Source: Rfam by way of RNAcentral
GUCCCUGUUGCGCAAUGGAUAGCGCAUUGGACUUCUAAUCCAAAGGUCGUGGGUUCGAAUCCCGCCUGGAAUG